This 555-nucleotide long non-coding RNA is filed under the name Carica papaya (papaya). Its description in RNAcentral is "long non-coding RNA (CPAP_LNC010263)". The record is from RNAcentral. Lineage: Eukaryota; Viridiplantae; Streptophyta; Magnoliopsida; Brassicales; Caricaceae.
CAGUGCAGUGGCUCCUCCGGCUCACGUUGUGGUUGGGUAUUUUGCUCUGCUUAACCUGUAGAGAAGAAAACGGUGAUCACAACGGUGAACAAAUUACGCAGAACGAUAAUUGAAAAAGGCCUCAUAGGAGGCAUUUUAUGGAAUUCCCCGCGGUGGCACUACUGGACUUGUCCCACGGUUUUCGGUCAAUAGGUUAGUCCUUUUAUUUCGAUUUGGUCAUGAGUAUGUUUAAAAUUAAAUUCUGAGUAAGGGAGAAAAUUUUCACCUCUUUUGGCGGUCGGAAAGGGCUUCGGCGCGGUGGCGGGUGGCGGCGGUCUCCUUCCCAACGGCUGGGCCUUCUUUUUCAGCGAGGGGGUCUAGUGGCUAGGGUUAGGGUUUGGUGUGGUUGGAGAUUAUUUAUAUCCGUUCGCUUUUGAUCUGAAUCGUCCGAUCACGAUUAAAUAGGAAGUGAAUCUAGGCCGUUCAUCACGAUCUAAUCUGGGCCAUUCAUCGUGAUCUAAUCUGGACCAUCUGAUCGCAUUCAAAUUUGACUAUUCAAUCGCGUUUGGGGAGGGA